AUACGUAGGGCGCAAGCGUUGUCCGGAAUUAUUGGGCGUAAAGAGCUCGUAGGCGGUUUGUCGCGUCUGCUGUGAAAACUGGAGGCUCAACCUCCAGCCUGCAGUGGGUACGGGCAGACUAGAGUGCGGUAGGGGAGAUUGGAAUUCCUGGUGUAGCGGUGGAAUGCGCAGAUAUCAGGAGGAACACCGAUGGCGAAGGCAGAUCUCUGGGCCGUAACUGACGCUGAGGAGCGAAAGCAUGGGGAGCGAACAGGAUUAGAUACCCUGGUAGUCCACGCCGUAAACGUUGGGCGCUAGUUGUGGGGACCAUUCCACGGUUUCCGUGACGAAGCUAGCGCAUUAAGCGCCCCGCCUGGGGAGUACGGCCGCAAGGCUAAA
This 378-nucleotide ribosomal RNA is filed under the name uncultured bacterium. RNAcentral's name for it is "bacterial SSU rRNA". It matches the Rfam family "Bacterial small subunit ribosomal RNA", at positions 523 to 898 of the family's 1533-position model. The record is from RNAcentral.